Molecule: long non-coding RNA, 421 nt
Organism: Leptinotarsa decemlineata (Colorado potato beetle)
Lineage: Eukaryota; Metazoa; Arthropoda; Insecta; Coleoptera; Chrysomelidae
Gene: Kr-h2
Source: RefSeq, a predicted model, not a curated record
GUCAGAUGAAUAUGCUCUUUUCCUAUGAAUCAGUGAUUGUCAAAUGAAUGAAUUGACGUGUAUUCAUUGAAUUAAUUCAUUAAUCAGAAAUAAAAUACCGUAACGUAUUACGUCGAUUCGUACUCGCAAAAGCCCAAACUACUCUUAUAUCCAUUGAACAAAAUGAGCGAUUCUAACGAGGCCACAGCCAGCACCUCCACUGCAGAUUCUAGCGGUACACAGCGUCCCAGAGGGGUAAAUUAUGAAGCCCUCAAACACCAUAUCGUUACUCACAAAAUUGACUGUGGACUGUGGGCCAUCAGAGUACUGGCUAUUAUAUUAGGAUUUGCAUACUUCAUUCCAAUUUUUGGGUGAGUUUUAGGUGCUAAAAUUAACGAGAAAAAUGGACUGUUGAAAUACCAAAUACAAAAUUCUCCAAAGA